CAGUGUUGUUAUAUAUUCAUUGAGUCAUUAGCAGAGCUGUCAAUAUAGGCUUGGCCCAUUGGGCCAGCCCAAUCCAGCCCGUAAUUUAGCAUGGUUGUGCUAGAGUUUUUGAAGCCCAUUUAAAACGAGGCUUUUAAGUCCGACCUGAGUAAGCCUGUGGCCCGGGAGGCUUGGUUGAGGCUGGGCCGGCCCAUGGGCCUAAUAAAAAUAUUUAUUUAAAAUAUAGAAAAUAUAAAAAGUAUACUGCCUUCAAUGAUGGAAAGUCAGAAUUGAAUCUUUACUUAGAGGAACCAAAGCGUGAUCUUGAGAAGUUCCAAGAGAUGGAUGUUGUCAUGUAUUGAAAGGACCAUUCUAGGAAAUAUCCUGAUCUUUCAGUGAUGGUGCAUGGUGUACUUAGUAUUCCUAUUACCACUGUGGCAUCGGAAUCAACAUUUAGCAUUGGUGGGCAUAUUUUGACAAAGUACAUAAGUUGCAUCCAUCAUGAAAAUGUCCAAAUACUUGUUACUACUCGAAAUUGGGUCCACGAUUUUUCCCAAACUCAAACUGAUGUAGAUAAAAGUGAAGAUGUUAAAACAACUUUGUCACAAGCGGAUUCAAAUGUGUUUGAUGAAGAUGAUGUAUUGGAUAUCUCAUAAGCGUCAUGGACGCUCUCUUGAAUAGUUUGUUUUGAGUUUUGAAUUUUAGUGAAUGAAAUAUAGUCUUGUCUUUUA
Molecule: long non-coding RNA, 710 nt
Organism: Nicotiana tabacum (common tobacco)
Lineage: Eukaryota; Viridiplantae; Streptophyta; Magnoliopsida; Solanales; Solanaceae
Source: RefSeq, a predicted model, not a curated record